UCGAACGGAAAGGCCCAGCUUGCUGGGUGCUCGAGUGGCGAACGGGUGAGUAACACGUGGGUGAUCUGCCUCUAACUUCGGGAUAAGCUAGGGAAACUGGGUCUAAUACCGGGUAGGACAAUCGUUUAGUGUCGGUUGUGGAAAGUUUUUUCGGUUAGGGAUGAGCCCGCGGCCUAUCAGCUUGUUGGUGGGGUAAUGGCCUACCAAGGCGUCGACGGGUAGCCGGCCUGAGAGGGUGGACGGCCACAUUGGGACUGAGAUACGGCCCAGACUCCUACGGGAGGCAGCAGUGGGGAAUAUUGCACAAUGGGCGCAAGCCUGAUGCAGCGACGCCGCGUGGGGGAUGACGGCCUUCGGGUUGUAAACCUCUUUCGACAGGGACGAAGCUUUGGUGACGGUACCUGUAUAAGAAGCACCGGCUAACUACGUGCCAGCAGCCGCGGUAAUACGUAGGGUGCGAGCGUUGUCCGGAAUUACUGGGCGUAAAGAGCUCGUAGGUGGUUUGUCGCGUCGUCUGUGAAAUUCCGGGGCUUAACUUCGGGCGUGCAGGCGAUACGGGCAUAACUUGAGUGCUGUAGGGGAGACUGGAAUUCCUGGUGUAGCGGUGGAAUGCGCAGAUAUCAGGAGGAACACCGAUGGCGAAGGCAGGUCUCUGGGCAGUAACUGACGCUGAGGAGCGAAAGCAUGGGGAGCGAAUAGGAUUAGAUACCCUGGUAGUCCAUGCCGUAAACGGUGGGCGCUAGGUGUAGGGGUCUUCCACGACUUCUGUGCCGUAGCUAACGCAUUAAGCGCCCCGCCU
RNAcentral lists this ribosomal RNA (799 nucleotides) under uncultured bacterium. RNAcentral's name for it is "bacterial SSU rRNA". It matches the Rfam family "Bacterial small subunit ribosomal RNA", at positions 62 to 874 of the family's 1533-position model. The record is from RNAcentral.